AGAGAACAGGGUAACCAAAAUCUAAAACUAGGACUAAGUAACAACAGAAACCAAAAGAUGGACAUACUCGACAAGAACACAUGUACAGCCUAGAAGUUUCAACAUUUAGAAACACCGAUUCCAAACUUAAAAGCUCGGACAUUUGUGUUGUUGCCACAGAUCUAAAGAUCUAGAGUCCUCAUCGUCGUUGCCACGAGCACCACCACCCAAGGCUGCCCUCAAAACCUCGAACACGGGCAGAGCCUACAACUUCUCCGAAGACUAACACAAAAACGAAAAAACUUCAAAGAAACAAGUUACAACUGGCGGCACAGGAGCUUCUAUGGGCAGUCAGAGAAGCCGCCUCCGACCACAUCCUCAAGCUAUAGUAGCCUCGAGAAUCAUCUCCCACGGAUGCAACAAAGUCGCCAAAUCCAAAUCGCCGCCUCUAUUCCACACUGUCACCACCAUCGCUUCAAUGGAACAAAUCAAAGCCGAAGAUGAACCACCUCUGAACCUGUGAAACCAAGCCAAAACACAUACAACGCAAGAAACGGAAGGAGCCACACCAGAACUUAAAGAUCUGAGAAAUCUCUGAGAGUAAACACCAAAGGUGGAUCUCUGAAAUCCACCUCCGUUGAAGCACCACCACCAGUCGUCACCGGAGAGAGCUCUCGCAGAGGAGCCCAAACUCAACACUUCCGUCCUAACCGCACCACGAAGGAGAGCAACACGCAUCAGAGACAUAUGCCACCUAACCCGAGGUGAAACCGGAAGCCCUUUCCACCGCAUCUGACUGGUAGUGAGAGCAGUCCUCAAACCCUCAACUACCGAGAAAGAGCAGAGAUAGCA
RNAcentral lists this long non-coding RNA (831 nucleotides) under Brassica napus (rape). RNAcentral describes it as "long non-coding RNA (BNAP_LNC008654)". The record is from RNAcentral. Lineage: Eukaryota; Viridiplantae; Streptophyta; Magnoliopsida; Brassicales; Brassicaceae.